This 118-nucleotide ribosomal RNA is filed under the name Pogona vitticeps (central bearded dragon). The record is from RNAcentral. Lineage: Eukaryota; Metazoa; Chordata; Lepidosauria; Squamata; Agamidae.
ACUGUGGGUUCCACCUUCCACACUACCCAAUCAUACUUGAUUUCAGAAGCUAAGCAGGGCAUGGACUUGGUUAGUACUUAGAUUGGAGACCAUCAGAGCAUACUGAAGACCUCCAGGC